This 502-nucleotide ribosomal RNA is filed under the name uncultured bacterium. Its description in RNAcentral is "partial 16S ribosomal RNA". It matches the Rfam family "Bacterial small subunit ribosomal RNA", at positions 28 to 523 of the family's 1533-position model. The record is from RNAcentral.
GAUGAACGCUAGCGGCAGGCCUAACACAUGCAAGUCGAGGGGCAGCACAGAGACAGCAAUGUUUUGGUGGCGACCGGCGGACGGGUGCGUAACGCGUAUGCAACCUACCUUUAACAGGGGGAUAACGGAGAGAAAUUUCCACUAAUACCCCAUAACAUCGAUCAAGGCAUCUUGAUUGGUUUAAAACUCAGGUGGUUAAAGAUGGGCAUGAGUUUUAUUAGGUAGUUGGUGAGGUAAUGGCUAAACAAGCCUACGAUACAUAGGGGGACUGAGAGGUUAGCCCCCCACACGGGUACUGAGACACGGACCAGACUCCUACGGGAGGCAGCAGUGAGGAAUAUUGGUCAAUGGGGGUAACCCUGAACCAGCCAUGCCGCGUGCAGGAAGACGGCUCUAUGAGUUGUAAACUGCUUUUAAACAGGGAUAAAGCACAGUAUGUAUACUGUGUUGAAGGUACUGUAAGAAUAAGGAUCGGCUAACUCCGUGCCAGCAGCCGCCGUAA